This 477-nucleotide ribosomal RNA is filed under the name Triticum aestivum (bread wheat). Its description in RNAcentral is "partial small subunit ribosomal RNA". Lineage: Eukaryota; Viridiplantae; Streptophyta; Magnoliopsida; Poales; Poaceae. The record is from RNAcentral.
AUGUCCACAUCUUGGGUUGCCUGCACAGUGAUAUCAUGUCCACCGUACAGCUUGGGAAGACAAUGCUCCAGUCUAGUGUCAUCGCUGCAUAAUGUAAAGAUCUUGAAGCUCGUUCUCCAUGGUCUUAGGUUAAAUCAUGUCAUUGACGUCCUCCAAUGCUUUCCCUGCUUACAACAGCUUCACAUAAAUACACUGAUGAGCCAUAUUCCAAACAAGCAGAACGACAAUCCAGCUGCUACUACUGUUGAGUGUGUUGAUAGACAUUUAAAGCAAGUAGUAGUGAGAAAUUAUUCACGCAAGAAACCUGAUUAUAACUUUGCCAAGUUUUUUGUUUUGAACGCAAGAGCGCUAGAGUCCAUGAAGCUCCAUGUCCCUUUUAGCUGGAACAACGAAUGGCGCUCUAGACAACGUAUCAAGAUGGAUUUUAAGAACAGAGCUUCUCCAAAUGCUUUGGUUUAUUUUGAGGGCACCGAGUGA